Molecule: ribosomal RNA, 119 nt
Filed under: Pteropus vampyrus (large flying fox)
Lineage: Eukaryota; Metazoa; Chordata; Mammalia; Chiroptera; Pteropodidae
Source: RNAcentral
UUCUGUGGCCAUGCCACCCUGAACAAGCCUGAUCCUGUCUGAUCUCAGAAGCUAAACAGGGUCGGGCCUGGUUAUUACUUGGAUGGGAGAUCGUCUAGGAAGACCAGGUGCUGUAGGUG